CACGCAGUAAACGAUGCACACUAGGUGGUGGGCGGUAGCGCUCAGUACCGUAGCGAACGCGUUAAGUGUGCCGCCUGGGGAGUAUGCUCGCAAGGGUGAAACUCAAAGGAAUUGACGGGGGCCCGCACAAGCGGUGGAGCAUGUGGUUUAAUUCGAUGGUACGCGAGGAACCUUACCCGGGUUUGACAUGGGCCGGAAGGGGCGCGAAAGCGUCCUGCCCCUCGGGGCCGGUCCACAGGUGC
Molecule: ribosomal RNA, 242 nt
Filed under: uncultured bacterium
Lineage: Bacteria
Description: partial 16S ribosomal RNA
Rfam family: Bacterial small subunit ribosomal RNA
Source: RNAcentral